CGGAGCGAGGGUCGACUGUCCGUCUGUCGCAGUCGGGUGGUGUGCUUGCUUCCAAGUCUGGAGUUGGCUGGUUCAAGCUCGUUCUACUGAGCGUUUCUUGCAUUUUAAAAAUGCUUAAACCGCUGGCAACUUUCUUCUACCCAGCACAUUCUCUCAUGGAAUGGCAGAGCAAGACCAACUUUACCCGCCUCUCCUCCGUGUCUCCCAUACGACAUGAGGACGUAAAUCAAGAUCUGGAUUUUCAUCUGGUAUUGGAUUCCUUCUGCCCGGAAGACUCCUUUGACGUUUCUGUAGUGUGGGUCAGCUGGUAGUGAAUUCGGUCAGCUUAUCGAAGCCUAUAUGGGUUCCCGAUGUCACAUCGCAGCUACCGCAUUGGAGGGUUAAGAGCCGCUGACAAAUCUCUUUCGGGAAGGGAAGAAGAGUUCCAAACAAAAGAUCUACUACCCUGAGAAGCGGUGAAGUGCUCCUGGGGCCCACCAAGGCCACACAAGUCAAGGAGUGGAUGGCCUUGCCCCAGCUAUGGCUCAGAUCACCUUUGCAGGAUGACAUCUUGUUGGGAGAUGGUCAUCAGAGACAGGGCCAUGGAAGACGCUGUCAGGAGGAGGCACAGAGGAAAGGCUAUGGGAGCACAAAGCAAGAAAGUGGCCUUCUGCAAGCCAGGAAGAGAGGCCUCCCCAGAAACCAACUCUACCAGCACAUCGAUCUUGGACUUUUGGCCUCUAGAACAUUGAGAAAAUAAAAGUCUGCUGUUAAACCA
Molecule: long non-coding RNA, 757 nt
Filed under: Homo sapiens (human)
Lineage: Eukaryota; Metazoa; Chordata; Mammalia; Primates; Hominidae
Description: HSALNT0295312
Source: RNAcentral